This 700-nucleotide ribosomal RNA is filed under the name Streptomyces violascens. Its description in RNAcentral is "bacterial SSU rRNA". It matches the Rfam family "Bacterial small subunit ribosomal RNA", at positions 33 to 748 of the family's 1533-position model. The record is from RNAcentral. Lineage: Bacteria; Bacillati; Actinomycetota; Actinomycetes; Kitasatosporales; Streptomycetaceae.
UCCCCGGGGGGGGGGCUUACACAUGCAAGUCGAACGAUGAACCGCUUUCGGGCGGGGAUUAGUGGCGAACGGGUGAGUAACACGUGGGCAAUCUGCCCUGCACUCUGGGACAAGCCCUGGAAACGGGGUCUAAUACCGGAUAUGACUGUCCAUCGCAUGGUGGAUGGUGUAAAGCUCCGGCGGUGCAGGAUGAGCCCGCGGCCUAUCAGCUUGUUGGUGAGGUAGUGGCUCACCAAGGCGACGACGGGUAGCCGGCCUGAGAGGGCGACCGGCCACACUGGGACUGAGACACGGCCCAGACUCCUACGGGAGGCAGCAGUGGGGAAUAUUGCACAAUGGGCGAAAGCCUGAUGCAGCGACGCCGCGUGAGGGAUGACGGCCUUCGGGUUGUAAACCUCUUUCAGCAGGGAAGAAGCGAAAGUGACGGUACCUGCAGAAGAAGCGCCGGCUAACUACGUGCCAGCAGCCGCGGUAAUACGUAGGGCGCAAGCGUUGUCCGGAAUUAUUGGGCGUAAAGAGCUCGUAGGCGGCUUGUCACGUCGGUUGUGAAAGCCCGGGGCUUAACCCCGGGUCUGCAGUCGAUACGGGCAGGCUAGAGUUCGGUAGGGGAGAUCGGAAUUCCUGGUGUAGCGGUGAAAUGCGCAGAUAUCAGGAGGAACACCGGUGGCGAAGGCGGAUCUCUGGGCCGAUACUGACGCUG